This 450-nucleotide ribosomal RNA is filed under the name uncultured bacterium. RNAcentral's name for it is "bacterial SSU rRNA". It matches the Rfam family "Bacterial small subunit ribosomal RNA", at positions 354 to 796 of the family's 1533-position model. The record is from RNAcentral.
GUGGGGAAUCUUAGACAAUGGGCGCAAGCCUGAUCCAGCCAUGCCGCGUGUGUGAAGAAGGUCUUCGGAUUGUAAAGCACUUUAAGUUGGGAGGAAGGGCAGUAAGUUAAUACCUUGCUGUUUUGACGUUACCAACAGAAUAAGCACCGGCUAACUUCGUGCCAGCAGCCGCGGUAAUACGAAGGGUGCAAGCGUUAAUCGGAAUUACUGGGCGUAAAGCGCGCGUAGGUGGUUUUGUAAGUUGGAGGUGAAAUCCCCGGGCUCAACCUGGGAACUGCCUCCAAAACUGCAUGACUAGAGUACGGUAGAGGGUAGUGGAAUUUCCUGUGUAGCGGUGAAAUGCGUAGAUAUAGGAAGGAACACCAGUGGCGAAGGCGACUACCUGGACUGAUACUGACACUGAGGUGCGAAAGCGUGGGGAGCAAACAGGAUUAGAUACCCCGGUAGUCC